AGUGAGUGACUUUUGUACACACCCGUGAGGCCUCCCCAGGUACAGCCCUCCUCAGUGAAGAAGAAAACCCACAGGCCUGAGAGAGCAGUCAGCACGGCAUCAGCAGAGGAUCAGUCCUGCCAGCUCCCAAGGAGACAGAUCAAAAUUUGCUGAUGUUAGUUUCUUAGAUUCCAGAUAGAUUUCAUAGCACUUACUCUGACUCCAAAGGCUCAGAAUAGGUAUUGCAGCUCCUUGAUGUUUGACAUAAUAAGAACCAAAACAGAAAUAAAAGACAGUUAAAUGUUAAGAGAUGAAAAAGCUUUUUAGACAAUGGGAAACACUCAACUUCAAGCUGGAACUACAGCCGUGUCAUUACAAAUUGAUAUAAAGCUAUGAAAAAGGACUAGCAUUGUUUUUACUUGGAAAUAAAUUGUUGUUUCUUCACAACCAGGUACACUUUUGUUGGCUAAAACCUUAAUAUACAACUGUUCUAAUGAACUCAUCAUGUUUCUCAUAGAGUUUUGUCUUUCAGCCAUUGUUUAUAGUGUUGUUAAUAAAACCAUUUGAUAAUCAUUUUACUAAAUCAAUGGAAUGACAUAAAACCCCCCAAGAUCAGAAAUUUCCAAUCCGUUACACUGUCACAGCCGUUACGUUUGUUCACAAGGUUUAGGUGAAUGCUUUUCUUGCUAAUAACCUGUUAAAAAGGAACCAUAAAAAAGGCUAUACAAGUCCAGGUCAAAGAUCUGUAUCCCACAGUACUCUUCCGGAAAAGCUGGCAGCCCAUAGCUUGGACAGGUACACUCUUUGCUGGGUAAGGAGCUGGCUGGAGGGCCGGGCCCAGAGAGUGGUGGUGAAUGGAGUUAAAUCCAGCUGGCGAUGGGACACGAGUGGUGUUCCCCAGAGGUCAGUGCUGGUGCCUGUCCUCUUCAAUAUCUUUAUUGAUGACCUGGAUGAGGGCAUUGAGAGCACCCUCAGUAAGUUUGCAAAUGACACCAAAGUGGGAGGAAGUGCCUGGGGGUAGGAACACCCCACAGAGGGACCUGGACAGGCUGGAUUGCUGGGCUGAGGCCAAUGGCAAUGCUGCAGGCUUGGGGCAGAGUGGCUGGAAGACUGUGUGAAAGAAAGAGACCUGGAGGUAUUGGUUGACCCUCAUCUGAACAUAAACCACCAGUGUGCUCAGGUGGGCGGAAGGCAGUGGCCAAUGGCAUCCCAGCUUGUAUCAGAAAUAGUGUUGCUAGCAGGAGCAGGAAAUUGAUCAUCCUUCUGUACUCAGCCCUGGUGAGGCCACACCUCAAGUACUGUGUUCAGUUUUGGGCCCCUCACUGCAAGAAAAGAUGUUGAGGCCCUGGAGCAUGUCCAGAGAAAGACAACAAAGCUGUGAGGGGUCUGGAGCACAAGACUUAGGAGAAGCAGCUGAGGGAGCUGGUAUUAUUUAGUCUGGGUAAGAGGAGGCUCAGAAAAAACCGUAUCACUCUCUACAACUACCUGAAAGGAGGUUGUGGUGAGGUGGGGUGUUGGCCCCUUCUCCCA
Molecule: long non-coding RNA, 1509 nt
Organism: Numida meleagris (helmeted guineafowl)
Lineage: Eukaryota; Metazoa; Chordata; Aves; Galliformes; Numididae
Exons: 5
Source: RefSeq, a predicted model, not a curated record